Molecule: unclassified non-coding RNA, 1147 nt
Filed under: Hevea brasiliensis (rubber tree)
Lineage: Eukaryota; Viridiplantae; Streptophyta; Magnoliopsida; Malpighiales; Euphorbiaceae
Source: RNAcentral
GCUCGUUCUCCGACCACAGGCUCGGACUGGUAAUCCUUUCAACGGCUCAGAUUUCAUUUCAUAUCCAUUCGUUUCCUGCACUCUCCAUCAAAACCUCAUAGUAGAAAAAAAUGAAAUCUUCUCAGUAGCAGCAAAGCUUCUUCUAUCGUAUAGGCACACAAAUUCUCUUGUUUUUCGCGGCGAAGAUCUAUGGCGGAGCAUGCAGCCCAGCCCGAAUCAGCCGUUGAAUCGCUGAUGGAUAAGAUCACCGACAAGACCCACAGUCACGAUUCUUCUUCAUCUUCCUCCGAUUCCGAUGACGACAAGCCCUCGAAGGUCGAUGCCGCCAAAUCGAAGAUAUUUCGUCCCUUUGGUAGGGAGAAACCCGUCCACAAAGUCUUAGGCGGUGGAAAACCUGCUGAUGUUCUUCUAUGGAGGAACAAGAAGACCUCUGCAGGUAUUCUUGGCGGGGCAACCACAGUCUGGUUUCUCUUCGAAUUGCUUGAAUAUCACUUAAUCACCCUAGUUUGUCAUGUGUCAAUACUCUCUCUUGCUAUCCUUUUCCUGUGGUCCAAUGCAUCCACCUUUAUUAACAAGUCCCCACCUGACAUCAUUGAAAUUUUGCUUCCUGAAAAAUGUGUCCUUGAAGUUGCCUCUGCCUUAAGAAUUGAAAUUAAUCGAGCACUGGCUGUCUUACAUGAUAUUGCAGCUGGAAGAGAUGUGAAGAAAUUUCUUACAGUAAUUGCUGGCCUCUGGAUUCUUUCGAUUAUUGGAAGUUGGUGCAACUUCUUGACCUUGUUCUACAUAGCCUUUGUUCUGCUGCACUCUGUGCCGGUGUCUUACGAGAAAUAUGAGAACCAGGUUGAUUCAUUUUCGGAGAAGGCAUGGAUUGAGAUCAAGCAGCAGUAUGCAGUGUUUGAAGCUAAGGUUUUGAGUAAAAUUCCAAAGGGGCCAUUGAAGGAAAAGAAGAAGGAUUAAAGAGUAAAGACGCCCGAUUUAGCGUCGGCUAGGCUCCUAUAGAGACUCCCACUUGUGCCAAGUGUUGUUCAAGGUGUUAGUGUGACAAAUAUAUUUAAGAAAAUCUCCUACAUUUCUGCUUCUGGGUGUCUGGGCGCCCAUCGAUAAUUAAAUUUAAAAUGAAAACUUUAUCUAAUCAGGCACUUUCACG